GAACUGAAGAGUUUGAUCCUGGCUCAGAUUGAACGCUGGCGGGAUGCUUUACACAUGCAAGUCGGACGGCAGCACGGGCUUCGGCCUGGUGGCGAGUGGCGAACGGGUGAGUAAUGUAUCGGAACGUGCCCAGUAGCGGGGGAUAACUACGCGAAAGCGUGGCUAAUACCGCAUACGCCCUACGGGGGAAAGCGGGGGACCUUCGGGCCUCGCACUAUUGGAGCGGCCGAUAUCGGAUUAGCUAGUUGGUGGGGUAACGGCCUACCAAGGCGACGAUCCGUAGCUGGUUUGAGAGGACGACCAGCCACACUGGGACUGAGACACACGGCCCAGACUCCUACGGGAGGCAGCAGUGGGGAAUUUUGGACAAUGGGGGCAACCCUGAUCCAGCCAUCCCGCGUGUGCGAUGAAGGCCUUCGGGUUGUAAAGCACUUUUGGCAGGAAAGAAACGGCACGGGCUAAUAUCCUGUGCAACUGACGGUACCUGCAGAAUAAGCACCGGCUAACUACGUGCCAGCAGCCGCGGUAAUACGUAGGGUGCAAGCGUUAAUCGGAAUUACUGGGCGUAAAGCGUGCGCAGGCGGUUCGGAAAGAAAGAUGUGAAAUCCCAGGGCUUAACCUUGGAACUGCAUUUUUAACUACCGGGCUAGAGUGUGUCAGAGGGAGGUGGAAUUCCGCGUGUAGCAGUGAAAUGCGUAGAUAUGCGGAGGAACACCGAUGGCGAAGGCAGCCUCCUGGGAUAACACUGACGCUCAUGCACGAAAGUGUGGGGAGCAAACAGGAUUAGAUACCCUGGUAGUCCACGCCCUAAACGAUGUCAACUAGCUGUUGGGGCCUUCGGGCCUUGGUAGCGCAGCUAACGCGUGAAGUUGACCGCCUGGGGAGUACGGUCGCAAGAUUAAAACUCAAAGGAAUUGACGGGGACCCGCACAAGCGGUGGAUGAUGUGGAUUAAUUCGAUGCAACGCGAAAAACCUUACCUACCCUUGACAUGUCUGGAAUCCCGAAGAGAUUUGGGAGUGCUCGCAAGAGAACCGGAACACAGGUGCUGCAUGGCUGUCGUCAGCUCGUGUCGUGAGAUGUUGGGUUAAGUCCCGCAACGAGCGCAACCCUUGUCAUUAGUUGCUACGAAAGGGCACUCUAAUGAGACUGCCGGUGACAAACCGGAGGAAGGUGGGGAUGACGUCAAGUCCUCAUGGCCCUUAUGGGUAGGGCUUCACACGUCAUACAAUGGUCGGGACAGAGGGUUGCCAACCCGCGAGGGGGAGCCAAUCCCAGAAACCCGUCGUAGUCCGGAUCGCAGUCUGCAACUCGACUGCGUGAAGUCGGAAUCGCUAGUAAUCGCGGAUCAGCAUGUCGCGGUGAAUACGUUCCCGGGUCUUGUACACACCGCCCGUCACACCAUGGGAGUGGGUUUUACCAGAAGUAGUUAGCCUAACCGCAAGGGGGGCGAUUACCACGGUAGGAUUCAUGACUGGGGUGAAGUCGUAACAAGGUAGCCGUAUCGGAAGGUGCGGCUGGAUCACCUCCUUU
Molecule: ribosomal RNA, 1532 nt
Filed under: Bordetella pertussis
Lineage: Bacteria; Pseudomonadati; Pseudomonadota; Betaproteobacteria; Burkholderiales; Alcaligenaceae
Description: bacterial SSU rRNA
Rfam family: Bacterial small subunit ribosomal RNA
Source: RNAcentral